CAGUCGCCACGGUAAUACGAAGGGGGCUAGCGUUGUUCGGAAUUACUGGGCGUAAAGCGCACGCAGGCGGCUCGAUAAAUUAGAAGUGAAAGCCUUGGGCUUAACCUGAGAAUUGCUUUUAAGACUGUCGAGCUAGAAUCCAGAAGAGGGUAGUGGAAUUCCGAGUGUAGAGGUGAAAUUCGUAGAUAUUCGGAAGAACACCAGUGGCGAAGGCGGCUCACUGGACGACUGUUGACGCUGAGGUGCGAAAGCGUGGGGAGCAAACAGGAUUAGAUACCCCGGUAGUCCCUGUCUCUUAUAC
This 301-nucleotide ribosomal RNA is filed under the name uncultured bacterium. RNAcentral describes it as "partial 16S ribosomal RNA". It matches the Rfam family "Bacterial small subunit ribosomal RNA", at positions 509 to 807 of the family's 1533-position model. The record is from RNAcentral.